CCUGACUCCCAGGAUCAGACGUCAGAAUGACUUGGGAAUUUUGUUGCUAGCUGCCUCCUGACACCUCAUGGUCACCCGAGAUCUGCAAGGCCCUGUCUGUCGUCUCCGCACAGCCUCCACCAGCAGACAUCUAAAGAUCUCCAUGAAGAUGAGGUGUCUCAUCAGAGUUGUUGGGACUUACCCACAGAGGGGUCCCUAAAACCAAGGGACAUAGGGUGGUGUUAAGAUGCCUAAGUCCAAUGCCCCCCACUUCAUA
RNAcentral lists this long non-coding RNA (256 nucleotides) under Cricetulus griseus (Chinese hamster). Its description in RNAcentral is "lncRNA (ENSCGRG00015031963.1)". The record is from RNAcentral. Lineage: Eukaryota; Metazoa; Chordata; Mammalia; Rodentia; Cricetidae.